Molecule: non-coding RNA, 266 nt
Organism: Caenorhabditis elegans
Lineage: Eukaryota; Metazoa; Nematoda; Chromadorea; Rhabditida; Rhabditidae
Source: Ensembl
AAUAUCUUUUCGACGCCGCCGUUCUCUCUCGAGAAUUGAGAAGCUUCAUCCAAAAAGCUGCAGUAGGCCCACCCCUGUCAAAAUAAGGCAUACACGUUUAUCUGUACCGUAAGCGGCGUUCGUUCCCCCCUCCCUCCCUCACCCAGCAACUAACAAGUAAACCUGAAAGACAGGAUUUAGAGAAAUGAACUGUUUUGACACGCCCGAGAUAGUAUGCUAAUUGCGGAGAGCGCGGGACACAGGCGGCGCGGCGAGAUAUAAAGAUA